GCCAGGUACUAUGGUGGGCACCUAUAGUCUCAGCUACUCAGGAGACUGAAGUAGGAGGAUUCCUUGAGCCCAGGACUUCAAGAUCAGCCUGGGCAACAUGGGAGACCCCAUAUCAA
RNAcentral lists this small RNA (116 nucleotides) under Marmota monax (woodchuck). The record is from RNAcentral. Lineage: Eukaryota; Metazoa; Chordata; Mammalia; Rodentia; Sciuridae.